Molecule: long non-coding RNA, 1072 nt
Organism: Oncorhynchus tshawytscha (Chinook salmon)
Lineage: Eukaryota; Metazoa; Chordata; Actinopteri; Salmoniformes; Salmonidae
Source: Ensembl
CCCCUCUCAACUCACAAUCACGAACCGCUUGCUGUGCGAUAGCAGAGACAACAGUCUAUAACUUGUGGCUGGAGUCAUUUAGGGCCUUUCUCUGACACAGCCUGGUAUAGAGGCCCUGGAUCGCAGGGAGCUCAGCCCCAGUGAUGUACUGGGCUAUACGGUCUACCCACUGUAGCGCCUUGUGGUCGGCCAUCAACUACAUAAGAUGUUCAUCCAUGUUUAUCAAAUGUCAAAUUUCAAAAUGAUUCCAACCAGGGUCAUUUUUAUAUGGAUUUUGGAUGUUUGAAAUGCAAGUAGGAUUGUCAGGUUCAACAGGGCUCUGUAAGUAUGUGGGUGUUGGGAAAAGAGGGAAGUUAGCAAGGACGACUAAGCCUAUGUAUCUUGGUUUUUGACACAUUUUGACAAAAUUGUCCAGUUCAGGAGUAUUAUAUGUGGAUGGUAGGUCAUCCUAUAGACCUUGUUGAUGCUCUCUGGGGUGGGUAGAUUUGUUGUUAUUGUAAUAGCUGAGUAGGUCUGUGCAUUUCAGUUUCAGAGCUGCCAGCUAGCGAGGGUAUACCAUGUCUAUACAUGUUUCAGUGUUGAAUGUGUUAGCAGAGUCCGUAGGUUUGUGGAUGUCAAAGUUUAAGAGUGUUUGCGCUGUCUGGAGGUUCUGGAGGUCUGGAGGUUCUGGAGGUCUGGAGGUUCUGGAGGUCUGGAAGUUCUGGCGGUCUGGAGGUUCUGGAGGUCUGGAGGUUCUGGAGGUUCUGGAGGUCUGGAGGUCUGGAGGUUCUGGAGGUCUGGAGGUCUGGAGGUCUGGAGGUUCUGGAGGUCUGGAGGUUCUGGAGGUCUGGAGGUUCUGAAGGUCUGGAGGUCUGGAGGUUCUGGAGGUCUGGAGGUCUGGAGGUCUGGAGGUCUGGAGGUUGCGAGGGGAUGAUGCUUGAUGUUCAGUGGUGGUUUGACAACUGAGCCUCUUUUCUCUCUCUGUCUCUCUCUCUCUCUCUCUCUCUCUCUCUGUCUCUCUCUGUCUCCUCUCUCCUCUCUCCUCUCUCUCUCUCUGUCUCUUUCUCUCUCUGUCUCUCUCUCUCUCUCUCUC